This 601-nucleotide ribosomal RNA is filed under the name uncultured Alphaproteobacteria bacterium. Its description in RNAcentral is "bacterial SSU rRNA". It matches the Rfam family "Bacterial small subunit ribosomal RNA", at positions 94 to 730 of the family's 1533-position model. The record is from RNAcentral. Lineage: Bacteria; Pseudomonadati; Pseudomonadota; Alphaproteobacteria.
AGUAGCGCACUGGUGAGUAACACGUGGGAACGUACCUUUUGGUGGGGAACAGCAGUUGGAAACGACCGCUAAUACCGCAUAAGCCCUGAGGGGGAAAGAUUUAUCGCCGAAAGAACGGCCCGCGGAAGAUUAGGUAGUUGGUGGGGUAACGGCCUACCAAGCCGACGAUCUAUAGCUGGUCUGAGAGGACGAUCAGCCACAUUGGAACUGAGACACGGUCCAAACUCCUACGGGAGGCAGCAGUGAGGAAUAUUGGGCAAUGGAGGCAACUCUGACCCAGCCAUGCCGCGUGAGUGAAGAAGGUUUUCGGAUUGUAAAGCUCUUUCGGGUGUGACGAUGAUGACGGUAGCACCUAAAGAAGCCCCGGCUAACUUCGUGCCAGCAGCCGCGGUAAUACGAAGGGGGCAAGCGUUGUUCGGAAUUACUGGGCGUAAAGGGAGUGUAGGCGGUUAUGUAAGAUAGUGGUGAAAUCCCAGAGCUUAACUUUGGAAUUGCCAUUAUGACUAUGUGGCUAGAAUUACAGAGAGGAUAGUGGAAUACCCAGUGUAGAGGUGAAAUUCGUAGAUAUUGGGUAGAACACCAGUGGCGAAGGCGACUAUCU